This 74-nucleotide small RNA is filed under the name Gammaproteobacteria bacterium. Its description in RNAcentral is "sX9 sRNA". It matches the Rfam family "Xanthomonas sRNA sX9". Lineage: Bacteria; Pseudomonadati; Pseudomonadota; Gammaproteobacteria. The record is from RNAcentral.
AUGUACUACCUGUACAUUCCGGUUCCUGCGCACCGUGCGCCUUGCAUCUGGCCAUCCUCGCUACGUUUUCAGCA